UACGUAGGGGGCAAGCGUUGUCCGGAUUUAUUGGGCGUAAAGCGCUCGCAGGUGGUUCGUCGCGUCGUGCGUGAAAGACCCCGGCUCAACUGGGGGAGGUCGUGCGAUACGGGCGGACUGGAGGCCAGUAGGGGGAUGCGGAAUUCCGGGUGUAGUGGUGGAAUGCGUAGAGAUCCGGAAGAACACCGGUGGCGAAGGCGGCCCGCUGGGCAACUGCUGACACUGAGGCGCGACAGCGUGGGGAGCAAACAGG
Molecule: ribosomal RNA, 253 nt
Filed under: uncultured bacterium
Lineage: Bacteria
Description: partial 16S ribosomal RNA
Rfam family: Bacterial small subunit ribosomal RNA
Source: RNAcentral